This 206-nucleotide unclassified non-coding RNA is filed under the name uncultured Psathyrella. Its description in RNAcentral is "sequence contains ITS2". Lineage: Eukaryota; Fungi; Basidiomycota; Agaricomycetes; Agaricales; Psathyrellaceae. The record is from RNAcentral.
AAUUCUCAACCUCACCUGUUUUGUAACGAGACAGGUGAAGGCUUGGAUGUGGGGGUUUUGCAGGCUGCCUCAGUGCUGGUCUGCUCCCCUGAAAUGCAUUAGCGAGCUCAUAUUGAGCUUCCGUCUAUUGGUGUGAUAAUUAUCUACGCCGUGGAUUGGACUCAUGCUUGCUUCUAACCGUCCGCAAGGACAAUUUACUUUGACCA